This is a long non-coding RNA of Esox lucius (northern pike), 682 nucleotides long. The record is from Ensembl. Lineage: Eukaryota; Metazoa; Chordata; Actinopteri; Esociformes; Esocidae.
GUUACUACAGCCUGCAGUUUGCUAGCUAGCAAAGUCAUCGACUACCAUCGUUUAAAUACCUUGGCCAGAGCAUAACCGGUUAUCUUCACCCAAGAGACCUACUGUUGGGAAAAGAGUUGAGAGGGACAAACAGGACAUUCACUUGAAUCACUACAUUCUACAGAAGUUGCAUCGAUUCCAGAAAACCAGGAAAAUGUUGAGCCAACUGUAGACUUCAGAGCUGAACCAGGUUUCUUCCCAGUAAUCCAGACUCCACUUCACAGUGCCAAGAGUUUGAGUACAAGAGAAAGUCAUCGCAUUGUUAUUGGCCCUUGGACGCCCCUGGCAUCUCGUGUACAGCACAAAGUUUUCAGCUAUGAAGAUUUCCAGUGACUCCAGAAUGAAAACCAAGCUCUGAGGGAGGAGAACCAAGCCCUGAGGGAAUGCAAUGCACAAGCAGCUUCGGAUGACAGCGGCUCACUUCAAGAGCAGGUGAAGCAAGUAGGGACAACGUUAAAGACGUUUGCUCUAACUGGGCAAUCAGGUACAACUUGCAAACAACACCUGUGGUUGUUAGUUUAAUACCUGUACAUGUUUUUUUUUUUUUUGUAUUUUAACUUUAGUAUUGGCUUAUUUCAUUCCGUCUUAACGAUUCUAUUAUAGUUUGUAAAUCCUAUUUCAUACCUGUUACUUGAUAUUGCAC